Lytechinus variegatus (green sea urchin) is the source of this 712-nucleotide long non-coding RNA. RefSeq lists it as uncharacterized. The record is from RefSeq and is a predicted model, not a curated record. Lineage: Eukaryota; Metazoa; Echinodermata; Echinoidea; Temnopleuroida; Toxopneustidae. The transcript has 3 exons.
CAAAAAAAUUUUGUCUCCUCUGUCUGCUAUGGGUCGCUGAUUGCCAGCGCCUGCAGCUAGCUAGCUAGCUGUACUAAAGCUCCGGUCGGGCCGGUCACGUAGCUGUUGACGAGUUGGUGAACUUGUCUUAGCUUAGAUUUCACGUUAUUCAUGCCUACAUGAGCUGCAUACAACUGCUCUAAUCGCUAGGAUGUGGAUGGACAUUGAUUUAAUUCCCAUUCAGCAAUUGGACUGAACCUGUACUGUAACACAGUAUGGAUGAGCUUCAUUGAAUUCCUCCAAGAGCUCUGUACUCUGUUCUGAUCAUUUUGAAGAUGCUUGCUUGACAGAACUGGGCAAACGAUUCGUCUUAGACAGGAUGCUGUCCCAACCAUAUUUGAUAUCCCCCCUCGUCUUCAGAAGAAUUCACACAAGCCAGGGAAACCCCCGGAAGAAAGACGUUUCGAUUCAGCGAACAACCUCCCAGAUACUGCAAAGACACCUGUACCAAAGUCCUCAGCACUUUCAUUUCUCAAGGACCACUACUACUCAAUACCAGAAAGUCCAGGAGGGGUAAAGUGGAAGUUAACAACAAUAAUGGACUUUAUUAAAAACUUGGAGAAGAGGCUGGAGACCACACAGAAGUGUAGAUUACAUGUACUUGCUGUUAAGUUUGGACAAACCUGACUUGCACAACUUUACAACAAAUAAUUUACGCUAUGUGCAUUCUGAU